This 787-nucleotide unclassified non-coding RNA is filed under the name Melitaea cinxia (Glanville fritillary). Its description in RNAcentral is "misc RNA ENSMCXG00005005385.1". Lineage: Eukaryota; Metazoa; Arthropoda; Insecta; Lepidoptera; Nymphalidae. The record is from RNAcentral.
UAUUCCUCUUAUAUGUCUGUGGAUUCACUGCUUCACUCUUGACAAGUGACAUUAAUGAUAUUAAGUUAUUACUUCUAUCUUUCCUUUAAAUAUUUAUUCUACUCUAUGAUCUUCUACGACCUGUGUCUACGACUUACACGAUCUCGCAUUAUCCUAAAUUAGUUACAAUUAAUAGUUGAUUAAAAAAUACUAUCAAUACCAUUAUAUUAAUGUAAAGUGAAAAAUACUAUAUUUUAUUACACUUCAUAAUGACUUUUAUACCUAAUUGGGAAGAAUUUGAAAAGUCAGCAGAGAUGUUAUACUUAAGAGAUCCUUUAAAUACACGUUAUAGCAUUAAAUACUCUCAUUCUAAAGGAGUAUUUUUAGUUAAAAUAACCGAUAACAAAAAGUGUCUUCAAUACAAAACAGAGGUUCAACAGGAUGUCAGAAAAAUUGAUAAUUUUAUAUCGAAUUUAAUAAGACAUAUGGCUUCAAAUGAUAACUAACCUAGUUAAAUAAAAUAAUAUUUAUAGCAGUGUCUUUUUCUUUGUAAAUCAUUAUAUUUUUUAUUAUUUUAGAUUGAAAAAUAUGAAGCUACAACAAAACAAGAAAACAAACAAAUAAACAAACAAAACUCUUCAACUUUAUAGUAUUAGUAUAGAUUCUCAAUGAAAUUUUUUUCUUGUUUGCUAUGUUUCAGAAGUUUCACUUCUGCCGUGUGAUGCACACACUUUUUGUUAAAUGCAGGCAAUGAAUUUAACAGCUGAGUUUCUUCCUGAUUCUUGUCUGCAAAAAUCAGUCUUCCGAG